AGAAUGAACGUUGGCGGCGUGGAUUAGGCAUGCAAGUCGAACGCUUCAUGUAGCAAUACAUGAGGAGUGGCGUAAGGGAGAGUAAUACAUAGUUAGCUACCCUCGGGUCUGGGAUAGCGGCGGGAAACUGCCGGUAAUACCAGAUGAUAUCUUCGGAUCAAAGGUGUAAUUUCGCCCGAGGAGGUGACUGUGUCCUAUCAGCUUGUUGGCGGGUAACGCCACCAAGGCUAAGACGGGUAUGGGGCGUGAGAGCGUGCCCCCCAUCACUGGGACUGAGAUACUGCCCAGACACCUACGGGUGGCUGCCAGUCGAGAAUCUUCGGCAAUGGGCGCAAGCCUGACCGAGCGACGCCGCGUGCGGGAUGAAGGCCUUCGGGUUGUAAACCGCUGUCGUAGGGAGAAGCAACCGUGUAGAACGGAGUUGACGAUCUAGGAGAAGGCCGCUAAUCUGUGCCAGCAGCCG
This 463-nucleotide ribosomal RNA is filed under the name uncultured soil bacterium. Its description in RNAcentral is "bacterial SSU rRNA". It matches the Rfam family "Bacterial small subunit ribosomal RNA", at positions 26 to 517 of the family's 1533-position model. The record is from RNAcentral.